UACGGAGGGUGCAAGCGUUGUUCGGAAUUACUGGGCGUAAAGCGCGUGUAGGCGGUUCGACAAGUCGGAUGUGAAAUCCCCGGGCUCAACUCGGGAACUGCAUCCGAAACUGCCGAGCUAGAGUCCCGGAGGGGAAGGCGGAACUCCCAGUGUAGGGGUGAAAUCCGUAGAUAUUGGGAAGAACACCGGCGGCGAAGGCGGCCUUCUGGACGGUGACUGACGCUGAGACGCGAAAGCGUGGGGAGCAAACAGG
Molecule: ribosomal RNA, 253 nt
Filed under: uncultured bacterium
Lineage: Bacteria
Description: partial 16S ribosomal RNA
Rfam family: Bacterial small subunit ribosomal RNA
Source: RNAcentral